UCCGAUAUGGUGUAGUGGCUAACAUUAUCGCCUCUCAAGCAGGACGCGAUAGCCCGGGGUUCGAUUCCCCGUGUCGGAA
Molecule: transfer RNA, 79 nt
Organism: Botryobasidium botryosum FD-172 SS1
Lineage: Eukaryota; Fungi; Basidiomycota; Agaricomycetes; Cantharellales; Botryobasidiaceae
Rfam family: tRNA
About the family: Transfer RNA (tRNA) molecules are approximately 80 nucleotides in length. Their secondary structure includes four short double-helical elements and three loops (D, anti-codon, and T loops).
Source: Rfam